GCAAAUGGGCCUGGGUCUUCAGAUCACAUGGGGGAAUUUCUUUUAGAGGAGGUGAUUCUCAUGUGCACCAUGGAAGAACGUGGCUGCCAUGGAUCUCCCCCCACAAGGAAGGGGAAACAAAGCAGGGGAUGUUCCCUGAACACACUUGAAUGUUUGAAUCCCAGUUUCAGGACCUGGUUCUUCAAAGCCCCUGCUGCAAGCGGCUCACUGACCCUCUGCAGCUUCUUUCUGAUCCCAUCGCCUCAUCUACAGGGCAGGGGGACAGAUGCCAUGACACCCAGCUCCAUCCUGCCUCCCCACCAGGCUCUGAAUCAAGGUCCAUCACCUCUGCUUUUUAUGCCAGCGGAUCCCUGAGCUGCCUGAUAGUUCGUGACUCCACCUGGCGAUGACUCCUCAUCAGGAAGCUGAGCCCCUCCGGAUGCCUCAGAAAGAGAAACCAGCACUUCCCCACAUGGCUCUUCAGUGGCCGCCACCCUGGACAUCGGAGCUGUGGCUUCUCCUGCUGGAUGGAUGCCCACAGCCCUGGAGAGAGCACGGAUGUGAGGACUUGAAAGGCUCCCACUUAUCACCGAGGAAGCAGGAGGAGGACAAGAGCCCCUCUGCCUCUGGAGAGAGAGACCCGGAACCUGGUGCUCCAACCAAAUGCUGUAGCUGGGACCAUCCAUCUUGGAGAAGCGGUCCAGGCCAACUGGAAAGUGUCCAGAGGUGCCACAGCCACGCUGAGUCCAAGGAAACAGUGCCGAGCAUCCAGAGUCACAGGGGCAGCAGCCAAGAAGAUGGUUCCCGAGGUUCACCUUUGCCUGGCCUCGUUUCCCACUGCGCCCUGGUUUGUGCCUUCUGCUCACACUGGAUGCUGCCUUGCCUUUCAGUUUCAGUGGAGACUUCCAUAGCAGCAGCAGCAGCAGCAGCAGCAGCAGCAGCAGCAGCAGCAGUCACCCUGGUGUGUCAAACCCAGCCUCCAUCUUCCUGUGGCCACUGUCUUCAAAUCCAGGUUCAAGUACACCUGAGGGUCUACAGACUUUCAAGGGGGUAA
This 1033-nucleotide long non-coding RNA is filed under the name Capra hircus (goat). RNAcentral describes it as "lncRNA (ENSCHIG00010000706.1)". Lineage: Eukaryota; Metazoa; Chordata; Mammalia; Artiodactyla; Bovidae. The record is from RNAcentral.